GACGAACGCUGGCGGCGUGCUUAACACAUGCCAGUCGAACGCUGAAGCUUGGUGCUUGCACUGGGUGGAUGAGUGGCGAACGGGUGAGUAAUACGUGAGUAACCUGCCCUUGACUCUGGGAUAAGCCUGGGAAACUGGGUCUAAUACUGGAUACGACAUGUCACCGCAUGGUGGUGUGUGGAAAGGGUUUUACUGGUUUUGGAUGGGCUCACGGCCUAUCAGCUUGUUGGUGGGGUAAUGGCUCACCAAGGCGACGACGGGUAGCCGGCCUGAGAGGGUGACCGGCCACACUGGGACUGAGACACGGCCCAGACUCCUACGGGAGGCAGCAGUGGGGAAUAUUGCACAAUGGGCGGAAGCCUGAUGCAGCGACGCCGCGUGAGGGAUGACGGCCUUCGGGUUGUAAACCUCUUUCAGCACGGAAGAAGCGAAAGGGACGGUACGUGCAGAAGAAGCGCCGGCUAACUACGU
This 471-nucleotide ribosomal RNA is filed under the name uncultured bacterium. RNAcentral's name for it is "partial 16S ribosomal RNA". It matches the Rfam family "Bacterial small subunit ribosomal RNA", at positions 28 to 506 of the family's 1533-position model. The record is from RNAcentral.